UUGGAUGGGGGAGUUUGGUGGGUGGGGGGUGAGAGAGAGAGGCAGGGUCCAGCUAGGCAAAGGCUUGCGCUUCGCUGGAUUACGAUAGCGCCGUUAAGCCGUUUUGUAGUGGGCCCCAACUCCCACUGUCUCACAUGCCAUGUCUGAGCGGCCCAAUUGGCCCAAUUCCCCAUUCUCUCUCUCUCCUCUCUUCUCCUCUCCACCUCCUCUCUCUCUCUCUCUCUCCCUUGUAUAGCCUACGCACACAGGAGAAAGGAAUCAAAACACAGACGACCGCCACAUCACUCUCUCUCUCUAUCUCUCUCUCUCUCUCUCUCCAUCAUGUCGGAAAAAGGUCAACCAUUACCAAAAUUUGGUGACUGGGACGUUAAUGACCCAACUUCAGCUGAUGGGUUCACAAUGAUCUUCAACAAAGCUAGGGAUGAAAAAAAGACGGGGGGCAAGCCUGACUCACCUGCAAAAGAGGACUCCGCAUUUAAGCAUGGAGCAGAUCUUGGAAAGCCUCAGUCUAAAAAAUGGUUUUGCUGCAUGCAAUCAACCUAUGCUGAGUCCUGAGGCUGCUUGCACCUGGUAGCGAGCUCUUAACAGGAAGCAUUAUUCGGGUCUGCUCCUGGCUCAACAUAUUUUCCAGAGGACUGGAGCUAAAGUCAGAAGCUGUGAUGGGUCUUGCUGGAAUCUGUUUGGUGUGAUUUUGAACUUGAUGACAAUGUGAGCUUUAUGAAGAAUAUGAUGAAAAAAUAUAUAUAUCUUUUGUUGUAUGUAUACUGCUGUGUGUUGUUGGUUGUACUCUGUUACUCUCUUCUGUUAAAUCUUUUACUAUGACCUGCAGCUUGUUUAUCA
Long non-coding RNA from Vitis vinifera (wine grape), 840 nucleotides. RefSeq annotates it as protein NOI4. The record is from RefSeq and is a predicted model, not a curated record. NCBI's taxonomy places the organism in Eukaryota, Viridiplantae, Streptophyta, Magnoliopsida, Vitales, Vitaceae. The transcript is spliced from 3 exons.